Molecule: transfer RNA, 90 nt
Filed under: compost metagenome
Description: tRNA-Ser
Rfam family: tRNA
About the family: Transfer RNA (tRNA) molecules are approximately 80 nucleotides in length. Their secondary structure includes four short double-helical elements and three loops (D, anti-codon, and T loops).
Source: RNAcentral
GGAGGGGUGGCAGAGUGGUCUAUCGCGCUUGCCUCGAAAGUAAGAGGGUCCGCAAGGGCUCCGUGGGUUCGAAUCCCACCCCCUCCGCCA